AUGAAGGCUGGAUGCUUAGGAUUUGUUGGUCAGACCGAGGUUUUAAACUCUGGUUGUGGCUGCAGUUAUGCUGUGAUCCUUGAUAUUGUUGAUAAAUGCAACGGAAUGUGGUUGAUGCUGCUGCGAUGCAUUUGCGAAGGCCUCGAAAACCUUCAUAUUGCAGCUGCAUUGCAUUUUCAAAGGCCUCCAAAACCUAUAUAUUGUGGCUGUGACGCAUUGGCCAAGGCCUCCAAAACAUUUAUAUUGCGGCUGCCAUCGUGGUUGUUGACCGUAAUGUCAAACUAUGGCUGA
This is a non-coding RNA of Vicia faba (fava bean), 291 nucleotides long. Lineage: Eukaryota; Viridiplantae; Streptophyta; Magnoliopsida; Fabales; Fabaceae. The record is from the annotation of a GenBank genome assembly.